GACGUAGGGCGCGAGCGUUGUCCGGAUUUAUUGGGCGUAAAGAGCUCGUAGGCGGCUUGUCGCGUCGUUCGUGAAAACUUGGGGCUCAACCCCAAGCUUGCGGUCGAUACGGGCAGGCUAGAGUUCGGUAGGGGAGACUGGAAUUCCUGGUGUAGCGGUGAAAUGCGCAGAUAUCAGGAGGAACACCGAUGGCGAAGGCAGGUCUCUGGGCCGAUACUGACGCUGAGGAGCGAAAGCGUGGGGAGCGAACAGG
Molecule: ribosomal RNA, 253 nt
Filed under: uncultured bacterium
Lineage: Bacteria
Description: partial 16S ribosomal RNA
Rfam family: Bacterial small subunit ribosomal RNA
Source: RNAcentral